UUUUUAUUGUUACAGCUGGGGAGAUGGUGCUAUUGGAGUCCAGUGGUGUAGAGAUCAGGGAUGCUACUAAACAUCGUAUGGAAGGCAGUGUGUGGAUCUUACACAUUGUCACAUCUCCUGUCACAGUGACUUGUCAUGUUAUAAGAAGACACAGAGCAGUUGCUUGGACCUUCUUCUUGCUGGAUCAGAGAUGCUUGGGCCACAACUUUA
This is a long non-coding RNA of Pan troglodytes (chimpanzee), 210 nucleotides long. RefSeq lists it as uncharacterized. The transcript has 3 exons. The record is from RefSeq and is a predicted model, not a curated record. NCBI's taxonomy places the organism in Eukaryota, Metazoa, Chordata, Mammalia, Primates, Hominidae.